Molecule: ribosomal RNA, 545 nt
Filed under: Aureobasidium proteae
Lineage: Eukaryota; Fungi; Ascomycota; Dothideomycetes; Dothideales; Saccotheciaceae
Description: partial 26S ribosomal RNA
Source: RNAcentral
GCCAGCAUCCUAGCCGAAGCGCGGACCUCAGUCCCGGCUGGCCGUAUUACACCCUGGGCUAUAACACCUCCACCGAAGUGGAGGCCACAUUCCCAGAGCCUUUAUCCGGCCGCCGAAACUGAUGCUGGCCUGUCCAAACUGAGUAAACCGGUCAGAAGACCGGCCGAACAGUUUAAACAAGUCUGAUUGCAAGCGCUUCCCUUUCAACAAUUUCACGUGCUUUUUAACUCUCUUUCCAAAGUGCUUUUCAUCUUUCGAUCACUCUACUUGUGCGCUAUCGGUCUCUCGCCAAUAUUUAGCUUUAGAAGAAAUUUACCUCCCAUUUAGAGCUGCAUUCCCAAACAACUCGACUCGUCGAAGGAGAUUUACAUAGGGUGCCAUUUCCUGUCACAUACGGGAUUCUCACCCUCUAUGACGUCCUGUUCCAAGGAACUUAGACAGGCGGCUUCCCCAAAUCAUCCUCUACAAAUUACAAUGCGAACCCGAAGGCUAGCUUUCAAAUUUGAGCUGUUGCCGCUUCACUCGCCGUUACUAGGGCAAUCCCU